CGAGCGUUGUCCGGAUUUAUUGGGCGUAAAGAGCUCGUAGGCGGUUCGGUAAGUCGGGUGUGAAACCUCCAGGCUCAACCUGGAGACGCCACCCGAUACUGCUGUGACUAGAGUCCGGUAGGGGAGCGUGGAAUUCCUGGUGUAGCGGUGAAAUGCGUAGAUAUCUGGAGGAACACCGGUGGCGAAGGCGGCAUCCUGGACCAAUAUUGACGCUGAGGAGCGAAAGCCAGGGGAGCAAACGGG
RNAcentral lists this ribosomal RNA (243 nucleotides) under uncultured bacterium. Its description in RNAcentral is "partial 16S ribosomal RNA". It matches the Rfam family "Bacterial small subunit ribosomal RNA", at positions 535 to 776 of the family's 1533-position model. The record is from RNAcentral.